Molecule: ribosomal RNA, 435 nt
Filed under: uncultured bacterium
Lineage: Bacteria
Description: partial 16S ribosomal RNA
Rfam family: Bacterial small subunit ribosomal RNA
Source: RNAcentral
AGCGAACGCUGGCGGCAGGCUUAACACAUGCAAGUCGAGCGGGCACUUUCGGGUGUCAGCGGCGGACGGGUGAGUAACGCGUGGGAACGUGCCCUCUGGUUCGGAAUAACUCAGGGAAACUUGAGCUAAUACCGGAUACGCCCUUUUGGGGAAAGGCUUGCUGCCGGAGGAUCGGCCCGCGUCUGAUUAGCUAGUUGGGGAGGUAACGGCUCACCCAGGCGGCGAUCAGUAGCUGGUCUGAGAGGAUGAUCAGCCACACUGGGACUUAGACACGGCCCAGACUCCUACGGGAGGCAGCAGUGGGGAAUAUUGGACAAUGGGCGCAAGCCUGAUCCAGCCAUGCCGCGUGAGUGAUGAAGGCCUUAGGGUUGUAAAGCUCUUUUAUCCGGGACGAUAAUGACGGUACCGGAGGAAUAAGCCCCGGCUAACUUCGUG